Molecule: RNA transcript, 1369 nt
Organism: Vitis riparia (riverbank grape)
Lineage: Eukaryota; Viridiplantae; Streptophyta; Magnoliopsida; Vitales; Vitaceae
Gene name: ATP-dependent Clp protease proteolytic subunit 2, mitochondrial
Exons: 4
Source: RefSeq, a predicted model, not a curated record
AAGCCAAACUGAACCUUCUACUGAAACGAGAACUCUUGAAUCCAUUAACCUAAGCCAAUCCGGAACCUUCUCCUCAGAACUGUUGAAUCCAUUAACCCUAACUCCAUUUUGCAGAGCCAUGCGUGCCCUAACCAAACUCUGCAGUGCCGCCACCGGACGGCGGUUGUUUCCGGCGGCGACUGCAGUGUCUACCAGGUCAUACGCUCUGAUUCCGAUGGUGAUAGAACACUCCUCAAGAGGGGAGAGAGCCUACGACAUCUUCUCUCGCCUUCUCAAAGAGCGAAUCGUGUGUAUCAACGGUCCGAUCUCCGACGACACUGCCCACGUCGUUGUCGCUCAACUGCUCUUCCUUGAGUCCGAGAACCCUUCUAAACCUAUCCACAUGUAUCUCAACUCUCCCGGUGGCGCUGUCAGCGCAGGUCUUGCUAUUUAUGAUACAAUGCAGUACAUUAGGUCGCCAGUUAAUACCAUUUGUUUGGGUCAAGCUGCAUCAAUGGGUUCCCUGCUAUUGGCUGCGGGUGCCAAGGGUGAGAGACGGGCACUCCCAAAUGCCACAAUUAUGAUUCACCAGCCUUCAGGUGGGUACAGUGGGCAGGCAAAGGAUAUGACUAUUCACACAAAACAGAUUAUUCGGGUUUGGGAUUCGCUGAAUGCGUUGUAUGCAAAGCAUACUGGACAGUCAUUAGAUAUUAUUCAAAAGAAUAUGGAUAGGGAUUAUUUUAUGACCCCAGAAGAGGCAAAGGAGUUUGGGAUAAUUGAUGAGGUUAUUGAUCAGAGACCAAUGGCUUUAGUGACUGAUGCAGUUGGGAAUGAAGGCAAAGAUAAAGGCUCUAAUAAGGAUUGAGGAUUCCCAAAGGAUAUCAAGCUGCAUAGCUGUGAUGAGUUUUAUGGAUAAUGAUAAACAAAUAAUCUGCUGUUACAUGUGAUGGGGUAGCUGGCUGCAGCUAUGGCUUUAUUUCGGGGACUCUUUUUUUUUUUUUUUUUGUACGGGGGCUAGCAUUCACUUAUCUAUUUAUGAAUCAAGUCAUUAUUUUAAUACUCAAUAAUUUAGAUUCUCAUCGGGAACAUGCUUAGCAAUUUUGUGAGACUUUAUUUUUUUCACAUAUUUAUGACUGAAACUCAAGCGGAUUCUCAUCAACACCAUUUUGAUUGUAAAUUUGAAGAUGGCAUUGCUAUCACAUUCAUAGGAAAGGAGUUUCUGUAACACUCGGAUAAUAUGGGUCCUUUGUGUUUUUCUGAACAAUAUGGAAAGAGGGGAAUAGAUCCUUUGAAAGUAGAUUUUGGUAGUGAAGAGGAUGUGUUCCUUAAAACUCACUUUGUCUGGCGUAGAGGCUCUGUGGUGAAUGUAUAUCUCCAUUUUGUUUACUUC